GUGAGGAAUUUUCCGCAAUGGGCGAAAGCCUGACGGAGCAAUGCCGCGUGAAGGAUGAAGGCCUAUGGGUUGUAAACUUCUUUUCUCAGAAAAGAAUUAUGACGGUAUCUGAGGAAUAAGCAUCGGCUAACUCUGUGCCAGCAGCCGCGGUAAGAAAGAGGAUGCAAGCGUUAUCCGGAAUGAUUGGGCGUAAAGCGUCUGUAGGUUGUUUAAAAAGUAUUCUGUCAAAGAUUAGGGCUUAACCCUAGAUAGGCAGAAUAAACUUUUAAGCUAGAGUUUGGUAUAGGCAGAGGGAAUUCCCGGUGGAGCGGUGAAAUGCGUAGAUAUCGGGAGGAACACCAAAGGCGAAGGCACUCUGCUGGGCCAAUACUAACACUGAGAGACGAAAGCGAGGGGAGCAAAUGGGAUUAGAAACCCGGGUAGUCC
This 426-nucleotide ribosomal RNA is filed under the name uncultured bacterium. RNAcentral describes it as "partial 16S ribosomal RNA". It matches the Rfam family "Bacterial small subunit ribosomal RNA", at positions 354 to 796 of the family's 1533-position model. The record is from RNAcentral.